AUGUAUGUAGCAUGGAAGAUACCGAGGGCAUUAAGAGAUGGGAUUAAGUUUAAAAUCAGACCAUUAAGACCACAUUCACUCAAAGAUGCUUACUGUUUAGCAAGAGAUGUAGAACCUAAUCAUCCACCUGUAGUUUCAGCUGGGAAGAAACAAGGUUUUGCUUAUACCAACUAUUAUCAGAAAAACAGUGGGGGAACUUCAAGCAAAGCAAAUACUGCUUCUGUUUCUAUGCAGCAACAUACAACAAAUCAGAAUACUGAAUUUUCUGUAGGCAAUGUUCAGAAAUUAAGGAAGGUGGGUGAAUGUUGGAGAUGUGGAGAUAAAUGGGUACAUGGCCACAAGUACAAGCUUAUCCCAAAUGUCCAUCUCCUACAACAGGAAACACCAGAGGAAAUACAGCUAGAAUCUGAAGAAAAUCUAUUGCGGGAGCAGGAAGAAAAAUCAGAGGAACAAGAGCAAGUUAUGUUCAUUUCUGCUUUUGCUAUAGGGUAG
Molecule: ribosomal RNA, 492 nt
Filed under: Triticum aestivum (bread wheat)
Lineage: Eukaryota; Viridiplantae; Streptophyta; Magnoliopsida; Poales; Poaceae
Description: partial small subunit ribosomal RNA
Source: RNAcentral